This is a long non-coding RNA of Pan troglodytes (chimpanzee), 7840 nucleotides long. RefSeq lists it as uncharacterized. NCBI's taxonomy places the organism in Eukaryota, Metazoa, Chordata, Mammalia, Primates, Hominidae. The record is from RefSeq and is a predicted model, not a curated record. The transcript has 2 exons.
AAUACUGUAUUUUCUUUUAUUACUGAGGUUUCUUUGCAUCCCUUUAAAAUUUGCCCAUCAAAUUAAUGCCUCACUUACUUCACCCUAGUCCCGGCCCUGCUUCAGGCCUAGCUGAAUCCAGAAGUUCAAAUGAUCACAUCAUGACUCAGUUCCUUUGGCUCUGCUUGUAUUUGGUUUGGCUCUAUGUUAGGCAGGUGCUUUCUACAUGUGGCUUUUAAUACUCACAGUCUUAGAUGCAGAGAGGCUGUUUCUCUUCUAAGCGCACCGCUUACUGAUCUUUGAAAAAAUAUUCUGCUUGAAUCCGUCUGAAACAUAUGAUACUCUGGAAGAAUUUUUGAAUGAUAGGGUACCCUCCAAUCCAGGAAGAUGUGGAGUUUCUGGAUUAAUCCUCGUUCCUUUCUUUUUGGAAACUCAAUAUUUUUUUAAAAAAAUCAUGUUUAUAGUUUUUAAAAUUCUCAUUAGAAGGUAGAAAUAGUUUUUUUUUUAUUAUUUAAUUGAUCAUUCUUGGGUGUUUCUCGCAGAGGGGGAUUUGGCAGGGUCAUAGGACAACAGUGGAGGGAAAGUCAGCAGAUAAACAAGUGAACAAAGGUCUCUGGUUUUCCUAGGCAGAGGACCCUGCGGCCUCCCGCAGUGUUUGUGUCCCUGUGUACUUGAGAUUAGGGAGUGGGGAUGACUCUUAACGAGUAUGCUGCCUUCAAGCAUCUGUUUAACAAAGCACAUCUUGCACCGCCCUUAAUCCAUUUAACCCUGAGUGGACACAGCACAUGUUUCAGAGAGCACCGGGUUGGGGGUAAGGUCAUAGAUCAACAGCAUCCCAAGGCAGAAGAAUUUUUCUUAGUACAGAACAAAAUGGAGUCUCCUAUGUCUACUUCUUUCUACACAGACACAACAACAAUCUGAUUUCUCUAUCUUUUCCCCACAUUUCCCCCUUUUCUAUUUGACAAAACCGCCAUCGUCAUCAUGGCCCAUUCUCAAUGAGCUGUUGGGUACACCUCCCAGAUGGGGUGGCGGCUGGGCAGAGGAGCUCCUCACUUCCCAGAAGGGGCGGCCGGGCAGAGGCGCCCCCCACCUCCCAGACGGGGCGGCUGGCCGGGCAGGGGAGGAAGUCUGAUUUUUAACACAAAUGACUAGUUCAGGAUCCUGGUGAAUUGAAAAUACCCACCUUUUAAAGUGUAAAAUCAGUGGAGGAGCUCAUGCAGAUGAUCAGCAUGAGUGAUGAUACCACAGAGGGGCCAAGAGGCAGUCCUCAGGGGGCAUAUGAGCUGUCACAGUGGAGACUGUGAAACAAGAUACUUCAAGCAGAUGUGUCCAUCUUUGAGUUUUAUAGCACAGGGAAUGAGAUGUCACAGCAUACUUUUCAAAAGAAUUCUAUGAAAACUAUAACUGAAGCAAAUGUGACUAGUAAGCAAUGAGAAGUGUGCCCCUUUAGGGCAAUGUAUGAAAAUGCAGUUAGAGGCAAACUAUGAAGUUCGAGCCACGGUUGGUAUUUCUUGGUUCACUUUGGAAGGCUGCUAUCUGUUUUGAGAAGAAAACCAAAAAGAUGAAUGCUGGAAAGUGUAUGCAUGAUUGAAUUACAGAUAACGUCUACCUUUUUUCACCUAACCUCCAGUACAGCCAAAGACAUUGGCGCUCCCCAUUCCUUGUCACUCACUAAAGGGUGGAGAGCUUCCCUGCUGGGUCCAGGGCUAAAGAUGGAAUUCCCUCACAAUCUCCCAGCUCCUCCCCCUCAGUCCCUGGCCCCCCACAUGGAAGGUGGUCUCCCUCCUUCCAGACCCCUGAGGCUGCCUGUGGCUGUGGUGUUGGGGUCUGCUUGGGACAAUCAAUCCCAGGCCUUGCUUUCCUUCCUGUGUACUUGCCCAUGCUCCUAUUCCUUCCAACCAGGCCUGCCUCCUCAGGCAGCUGUGUCAAAAGCAAGACAUUUAAGACAAGUGGUGACUGCUCUCUGCUUUCUCUUGAUUAGAGAAGAAUUUAGCAAAAGUUGUAGUAAUUAAAAAAAAAUCUAGCUCAUUUGCUCAAAGGACAACAGUUUAAAAGAAAACAUAUUCAGCAUGACUCUCACUUUGCUUUUAGGUGACAAUAAGUUUUUGGAAACCCCCCUUAUAAUUAGCCAGGGAGUGGCAGCUGACUCUGGUGGUGGCUUGCCCAGCAUCCAUUCUCGUUCCCUUUUGCCAACAGAAUCCUGCAGGGUGACGCUGCCUGACCACAAAUACUCAUCUUCUCUCCCUCUCCUGCUGCUGCAGAGGCCAGAAAGGUUGGGCCAAUGAGGCCUAUCCUGGCCCCACUCAUGGGCACUAUUUCCUUUUCCCUGAGCCCCUCCUCUGAUUCCAGCUGCCCUGUGGUCUCUGGUCACACACAAGCACUGAUUAUGCAGGGACAACCUUGUAGCUUGUGCUUCCAGCCCAGGUCAUGGCUUUCAUUUUCUGCUAUGGGGCUUCUCAGAUCCUGCAACAUGGGAAGCCCACACUAGAGAUGUGGGAUGUUAGCAUUCGUGGAGCACCUGUGACUGAUGGGAUGGCAGCAACAGACAGAUGUGUCCCCUUUUAUCUGCCAGGUCUAAGUUCUGAGAAGCAUUUGGAAGACUCUGCAGUUCUUUUGCAAGACAUCUAUGGUGCUGGCCAACUGGAUAAUGUGUCCUUAGAAUGGUUUUUCCCCCUUUCCAGCUUUCUUCAUUCCUCACACCUGCUCCCUGAGAUCACAUUCCUAUGUAAACUCCCUGCAGCUACGUCUUUAUCUCAAGCUCUGUUUUCUGGGAAACUAUAGUAUUAUAAGAUGUCUGCAAGAGCAGGAAUCCAGGGCAUCUUUUUAAAAGGGAGAGACAGAUAAAAUUGGUAAGCCCCUUCUUUCUCAUUCCCACUGGUAAAGACAAAAGUCAUUUUGUCAUGAUGAGUGUGAAGGCCACAUACUAAGGAUAAUAAAGCACAAACGUUGUCCCUGUUGACAAUGCUGAGCAACUACAGCCACCUAGACAACCUCCUCUGGUCUUGUAUGGUGCAAAUAGUUCAUCUGUUUGGGUCUGAUUAGGAUUUUCUGUUAUUUGCAGCCCAAAUCAUUCCUAACUGAUAGAGUAGAAAACAACAACAAAAAAAGAGUUCUUGGAUUUACAAAUCUUAGGGUAGUGAUUAGAAUCUUGCCUUUUGAAAAAUCUUGCAUCUCUUCCCCUUGCUUGCUAUGAAGGGCCCGAGGGAGCCUUCUCUGCUCUUCCUGACAAUUACAGGAGCUAGGGGUGCAGUCGUUUUCCACCUGCCUUUGGGGAUGCCUGGUGUAGGUCCAGUGCUGCCAAUGUUUUCUUCUUCUUCUUUUACUUUUCCAUAUUAUUAUUUACUUUCUGAAAUAUGAGUUAGAUACACAAAAAGUAAUAUGGAGAAAAUCAUGGCACACGUUUGGAGCUCUUACACUAUUAUCCUUAUGGAUUCUAAAAUGUCUUUUAUUGCUCACAGGGCCUUUUCCUCACUAAAGGUACAUUUGGCUUUCAUUGAUUCAGCCUUGUUUCACAGCAAGAGUGCAGUAGUUUACAAAAACACAUAGCAUGAAGUGAAUUAGUUAACUGCACCUCACUUCAACUAGCUCGACUGAAAGUUAGUCUCAUUCCAUGGAAUCAGCAAGAGGGAAAGGGGAAUUUAUGUGUUGUGCACUUCAGCAUUUGAAUACAUGAUUGUUUUAGGAUUUUUGUCUUUUUGAAGGUGUAGCAAGGCUGCCAGAAAUGCAAUGGCCCCAAGGUACAGCUGUCAAGAAAUAUCUUCCGAAAGGGUAUUGCUUCAUUAAACAUAGAUCUUUCCUUUGUUCAUUAGGAUCUUGCCAGAUGGGAAUUCAGUGUUUUGAAAGCAGGCACCCACAUGGAAUUUUGUUUCUGACAUUGACGAAUGACUGAAUCUCUCCAUGGAGUUUUGUUAUGGGGUGUCAGUGAAUGUUAGCUGAGGGCGUGACUGUAACUUUUCAUGAUACAGAGAUCUGUAGGUGUCAAGCCAGUCUAUGGUUGAGCAAUCAUAGUACAGCAUCCGUAUCUAUAAAUCAAAAGGGUAGAGGCAAACUUUUGAAUUUAAAUUUGCAUAUUGUAAGAUUCUUCCAAGUGGACUGAAUAGCAUUUUUUUUUUUAAACUUCUGUUGAACUUUCAGGUAACGUCAUUUACUGUGCCUGAUGAGAAAUACAGGCAGCACAGAUAAAACACUGGGUUGCUGAUCAGAAGAACCAAUAUCCAAAGCAAUGAAGUUACCCCUGCCUUAGGUUACUGUACCUCCUGAGUCAGCUGACACCUGGUACCUCCGCACCAUUAGCUUGACAAGAAACCCCGCCCUGUAUUCAUAAGGAUCUUUGGAAGGUGAAUAAAUUAUUUCUAUUGUAGCAUUUGCAGACCUCCUCAUAUGGCAGGUGCUUUGCUACGUGUUGCUCUUUUGUUACGUUCUGCCGCAGGUCAGUGAGGUGCCUGUUUAUGGAGUUGGAGAAGCUAAGAAUCAGAGAAGUCAACACUUACCUCAAUCACUUAGCUAGUAAAUGGCACAAUUGAUGUUCAAACCUAAUGUGUCUGACUCAAAAGACAUUUUUUUCAUUCUUCUCUACUGCUUAGUGUAGUGAUUAAAAUCGUGUGUGGUGGAGUCAGUUGGAGUUCAAGUCCCUGCUUCGCUGAUGACUAGCCAUGUCUUUCUGCAACUAACUCAAUCUCUCACCCUCUCUGUUUUUGCCAUUCAAAAUCAGGUGUAUCUUAUCGUGGUUUUGAUUUGCAUUUCCCUGAUGAUCAGUGAUGUUGAGCGUCUUUUCAUAUUCUUCUUGGCCCUAUGUAUGUCUUCUUUGGUGAAAUGUCUAUUCAAGUCCUUCACUUAUUUUUGAAUUGGGUUGUUUGUCUUUUGUUGUUGAGUUGUCAGAGUUUUAAAAAAUACUUUGAUAUUAAUCCCUUAUCAGAUAUAUACUACAUUUAAUAUUUAUCUUUUAAGGAGCAACAGAGGCCUUUUAAAGAGCUGAGGAAAAUGGCAAAAAAUAUUGGCAACUAAUGCUGCGCUCAUGAUAUUCCCCAUAGUGGAAACUCAUGAAGGGUUUUCAUUUGGCAACUGGAGAAGUUGGACAUGCUCUCUUUAUGGCACUUACAAUUUAUUCUUUGGUAGAAGGAAGAAUAUUAACAACUCAGUAAUGUUUUCUCUGUUUCCUUGAAAAAAGACAAUUGCAGCUUUUGAAUUUGUAAGUUGAGUAGGAAAACAGAGGAUAAUACCAAAGCAAAAAGGUGUCUGAAUGGAAAGGUAUUUCAUUUGUCCAUUCAGGAGAUUUGUUUUACUUUACAAAAUGGUGCAAUGGAACAAAUACCUAUGUUACCAUUUUCCUUCCCCUCUUGUCAUUUAUUUUUCCUUUGGACUGUUAUCCUCUCCUCUGAACUGUUCUCUGUGUGAAAAUGUUAUACCUUCUUGAUUUUCAAAUGCUUUCAGAAUAGCAACAGGUAAUGGGAGAUCAAUAUUUAACAAUCUCAAUAUUUAAACUUAAGCAUUUUCCACAAUAUUAUAACCCCAAAAUCUUUUUUUUCCCAUUGAGCCAUUAAAAAAAGAAAAUAAAUUAAAAGCACAGAGAGCCUCCCAGAAUGACUGAAGUGUCUGUUUGCUCUAGAUGUGCUUAUAUGGCCAACAGUAUAGUGGUAAUAGAAUGCUAUUCCUCAGUGCUAUGAAAUGAAGAUGGUGGAUAAUAGCGCAGCAAUAUUACUAAAUCAGAGAAAUGAUGUCUUGAAUUCAUUAAAGUGCAAUCUAGCCAAUGAUAAGUCAUCCUUCCAUGUGGCAAAAGAGAGAAUCUGGGUGCACAAAAUAUGGGCAUAUUUGUUAAGUCAAAAAUAUAAGGCCUACAGGAUAACAUUCUACAUAAUGUGGCCAAUUUAUGCUAUAAUCAUUAGGGAUGACUUAAUUUUACUAUUACAAUAUUCUAAUCUUAAAAAGGAGUUGAACUCAAUGUACUAUCCAUUUUGAAGAGCUUUAAAAAGCAUUUCAGUGUGAUAAGAAUUACCGGCUCUUGUUAUUUUGUAAAAUUUUCUUCAUUUGAAAACUCCAAAAAACAAUUCAUGGUUUUAUUUAUAUGGAUUUUGCAAACAUAAAUAUGUAGGGAAUUAAAGUGAUAUGGAGGAAAGGUAAGAUUGUGGGUUUUUUUGGUAGAUCACUUUUAUUACAAUAAAACAAGUGACUAUUUUGCUUGGAUCUAACAUUAUUAUCUGUUGGGAAUACAUUUCAACCCUAAUUGAGAUUAAAGGCCUGCAACAGUAAAUCAGAUUUUGCUAAUCAGCUCUUCUUAUACUACAAACAAUUCCUCAAAAAAAUGGCAAGCAGUUUAUUUCUUCAUGAAUUUUUUUUAUACUUUGAUUACAAAAGGAUAAAGCUUGUUUUGACUAACCAAGUCUUUUAGCAUAUUAAUUUACACUUAAUGAAUUUUUUGUGGUGAAACAAUUGGCCCUUAAUAUACAUGGGCCUGUGGUUUUAUCUUCAGAUUACUUGACAGAAACCGGCUCAACGAGGUGUGAGGACAAUGUUGGCCAGCCUUGCCUAUUCAACUGGGGUGGGUGACAGAAGGCUCUGUUUCUGGGUGAUGGUUAAAGGUAUUUCAUUUCAUUCUCAAGUGUCCUUGUUUGAAUGCCAAGUUAUAUAAUCAUUCUACAUUUAGCCAGCUGCUGCUUAUGAUAAGACUGCCUAGGAAUUUAAAGUUCCUUUAUUUAAAAAAGACAGGCAUAUCAAACCUGAGAUAAGGAAUGCCUUGUGGCGCUAUCUAUUUCAGGUGAAACUUUCUAUGUGUUUAGCCUUUGGGCAGCUAUGCCUUUGCAUAGCAGCAAGCUGAUAUUAUAAAUACUUCCUAAAGUACAAGUUUAUCUAACAUGAUUUUCUGAAGAUUCAAAUGUAUGCUUGUUUUAAGUUAAUGCUUUUCAUAUUAAGUCAUUUAGAAAUAGCCAGACAUAUUUAAACUCCAAAUACUAGUUUAGCAGAAUUUUUAUUGACUCACAUUUUUAAGAGAAAGAUAAAAAUAAUCUUAAAAUUAGCUCACAUUACAGAUUUAAUUGUGAUGAGUAUCCUUUCAGCUCAGCCUUCCAGACUUUUUAUUUCUAUGGUUUAUUGUUGCAUAAUGAGAAGUAAUGUUUACAAUGAGUGCUCUGAGACUCUGCAAAAUUAUGAAUAAUUGAAAAAAGUCAUAUUUUUCUUACCCAUUAAUCAUAAGGUAUUAGAAGUAUUUUCAAAACAGAAGUUUGAAAGGAAUAUUUUAACAGUUGCCAGGAAUUCAAUAAACCCAAUUAUACAGUUUCCUGAGCAUUGUGUUUAAUCUAGAUUUGUCUGUAAAAUGUGCCAUAGAUAGAAUGUAGACUUUUUUUCUUAUACUAUAGAAGCUAAAGUCAUUAUAUUUUUCUCAUACUAUAAGAACUAAGGUUGUCUGUUUACAUUAACUUUGAUACAUGUGAUCAAUGUCCAAAUACUUAUUCAACAAAUGUUUAUUAAGUUAGUACUAUGUCCCAGGCAUGAUUCUAGGUGCUUGGCAUAUGAGUGAGUUAAACAGAGAAAACCUACUGCCCUCAUUGGGCUUACAUUUUAGCAGAGAGAGAAAGAAAAUACAUUAGAAACACAAUAAAUAAACAUAUGCUAUAGUAUUUCAGAUGGUAAGGAAUUCUACAUAAAAGAAAAAAUGAAAAUAGAGUAAAGCCAGUCAGAUGUGCCUAAUGAAAAUUAGCUGAAAUCAGCCCAGUAGUACCAUAGGUAGUUUUUUUUAGAUAAACACAGAAAUGGACCCUUUUGGUCUUAAAGGUUGAAACUUACAUUUGUUUUAUCUGAGUUCCCUCCUCAGGAAAUGACCUUCAGGCCUCUCCAAAAAAAAAAAAAAAAAAAAAAAAAAAUCAAAGAA